Molecule: ribosomal RNA, 460 nt
Filed under: uncultured bacterium
Lineage: Bacteria
Description: partial 16S ribosomal RNA
Rfam family: Bacterial small subunit ribosomal RNA
Source: RNAcentral
CCUACGGGUGGCAGCAGUGAGGAAUAUUGGUCAAUGGACGAAAGUCUGAACCAGCCAAGUAGCGUGAAGGAUGACGGCCCUAUGGGUUGUAAACUUCUUUUAUAUGGGAAUAAAAUGUUCCACGUGUGGGAUUUUGUAUGUACCAUAUGAAUAAAGAUCGGCUAACUCCGUUCCAGCAGCCGCGGUAAUACGGAGGGUCCGAGCGUUAUCCGGAUUUAUUGGGUUUAAAGGGAGCGUAGGGGGAUUGUUAAGUCCGUUGUGAAAGUUUGCGGCUCAACCGGAAAAGUGCAGUUGAAACUGGCAGUCUUGAGUACAGUAGAGGUGGGCGGAAUUCGUGGUGUAGCGGUGAAAUGCUUAGAGAUCACGAAGAACUCCGAUUGCGAAGGCAGUUCACUGGACUGCAACUGACACUGAGGCUCGAAAGUGUGGGGAUCAAACAGGAUUAGAUACCCGAGUAGUC